This 443-nucleotide ribosomal RNA is filed under the name uncultured bacterium. RNAcentral's name for it is "bacterial SSU rRNA". It matches the Rfam family "Bacterial small subunit ribosomal RNA", at positions 29 to 506 of the family's 1533-position model. The record is from RNAcentral.
GCGAACGCUUGCGGCGGGCUUAACACAUGCAAGUCGAGCGCCAGGUUUCGGCCUGGAGCGGCGGACGGGUGAGUAACGCGUGGGUACCUACCUUCUGAUGGGGGAUAACUAGGGGAAACUCUAGCUAAUACCGCAUAUGGCCUUCGGGUCAAAGGCUUCGGCCGUCAGGAGAGGGGCUCGCGUCCCAUUAUUUAAUCCUAGUUGGUGGGGUAAUGGCCUACCAAGGGUACGAUGGGUAGCUGGUCUGAGAGGACGAUCAGCCACACUGGGACUGAGACACGGCCCAGACUCCUACGGGAGGCAGCAGUGGGGAAUAUUGCGCAAUGGGCGAAAGCCUGACGCAGCCACGCCGCGUGAGUGACUAAGGCCCUCGGGUCGUAAAGCUCUGUCGGAGGGGAAGAAGAAAUGACGGUACCCUCCAAGAAAGCACCGGCUAACCUCGU